Molecule: long non-coding RNA, 264 nt
Organism: Perca fluviatilis (European perch)
Lineage: Eukaryota; Metazoa; Chordata; Actinopteri; Perciformes; Percidae
Exons: 3
Source: RefSeq, a predicted model, not a curated record
CGACGGGGGGGAACCUGUUGCUUUGUUCAUAAAAAUCCUCUUAGAACUCGGGUCAUGAGCCUGGUGGGCAUUCACAAGCUGGAUGGAGACAAUCACACUCCUGCCUAGAAAAACCACAACAUACUUGACCAAAUUCUGGAUAGGCUGUAACCUCUCUACACAUCAGCCAUGCCCCUCCACAAUCACAGUGUAAAAGAGGCCUGGACACAGGACAGGAUUCAAGAGGAUAUGGAUUCUUCUUCAGCCCCACAGCUGCAAGUUCAG